UACGGGGGGGGCAAGCGUUGUUCGGAAUUACUGGGCGUAAAGGGCUCGUAGGCGGCCAACUAAGUCAGACGUGAAAUCCCUCGGCUUAACCGGGGAACUGCGUCUGAUACUGGAUGGCUUGAGGUUGGGAGAGGGAUGCGGAAUUCCAGGUGUAGCGGUGAAAUGCGUAGAUAUCUGGAGGAACACCGGUGGCGAAGGCGGCAUCCUGGACCGAUACUGACGCUGAGGAGCGAAAGCCAGGGGAGCAAACGGG
Molecule: ribosomal RNA, 253 nt
Filed under: uncultured bacterium
Lineage: Bacteria
Description: partial 16S ribosomal RNA
Rfam family: Bacterial small subunit ribosomal RNA
Source: RNAcentral